GUGAAUCAUCGAAUCUUUGAACGCAAAUUGCGCUUCCUGGUAUCCCGGGAAGUAUGCCUGUUUGAGGGUCAGUAUUAACAAAAACUCGGUUUGGUUGCAAAUUGUGACGUUUCCGGAGUUUGGGCUUAUCUUAACUUUUUUGGUUAAGGGGCUUAAAAUUGACCUUUUUUGCGCAUUUUUAGACGUACAUAAAUUUUUUUUUUUUUUCGUUUUUUUUUAGUGCCACAACUUUAUUUAAGC
Molecule: unclassified non-coding RNA, 240 nt
Filed under: Glomeraceae sp.
Lineage: Eukaryota; Fungi; Glomeromycota; Glomeromycetes; Glomerales; Glomeraceae
Description: partial contains 5.8S ribosomal RNA and internal transcribed spacer 2
Rfam family: 5.8S ribosomal RNA (bases 1-71)
Source: RNAcentral